UACGGAGGAUCCAAGCGUUAUCCGGAUUUAUUGGGUUUAAAGGGUGCGUAGGCGGAAGAUUAAGUCGGUGGUGAAAUUUUGCAGCUCAACUGUAAAAGUGCCAUUGAUACUAGUUUUCUUGAGUAUGGAUGAAGUAGGCGGAAUUUGUGGUGUAGCGGUGAAAUGCAUAGAUAUCACGAGGAACUCCGAUUGCGCAGGCAGCUUACUAAACCAUAACUGACGCUCAGGCACGAAGGCGUGGGGGAUCAAACAGGAUUAGAUACCCCGGUA
Molecule: ribosomal RNA, 270 nt
Filed under: uncultured prokaryote
Description: partial 16S ribosomal RNA
Rfam family: Bacterial small subunit ribosomal RNA
Source: RNAcentral